This 240-nucleotide ribosomal RNA is filed under the name Dolichoris sp. 1236_01. RNAcentral describes it as "partial 28S ribosomal RNA". It matches the Rfam family "Eukaryotic large subunit ribosomal RNA", at positions 967 to 1163 of the family's 3401-position model. The record is from RNAcentral. Lineage: Eukaryota; Metazoa; Arthropoda; Insecta; Hymenoptera; Agaonidae. RNAcentral also lists the same sequence under 1 other name.
UUUCCCUCAGGAUAGCUGGCACUCGCUCGAUAGCGAGUCUCAUCUGGUAAAGCGAAUGAUUAGAGGCCUUGGGGCCGAAACGACCUCAACCUAUUCUCAAACUUUAAAUGGGUGAGAUCUCUGGCUUGCUUGAACGUUGAAGCCAUGAGAUCGCGUUUCCGUGUUGAAAACACACGGAGCGCCUCACGGAUCAGAGUGCCAAGUGGGCCAAUUUUGGUAAGCAGAACUGGCGCUGUGGGA